AUAGAUAUAGGGAGAAAACCAGCUUAUGGGUUUUCUCUGAGUUGUUUUGAAUUUCUGGUCUGGGUCCUGGAGUCCGGAGGCUUUGUAGAGCAUUGGGUGGGAUGAAGCUUCCAUUCCUAGGUCCAUUACGGAUUUUGUGCCAGGAGCAUGUUCAGCUGACUGAAUAGUAAAAGGAGUGUUACAAUUCAGAACAGUGAGAAGGGGGAAGCACUGAGAGGAGAGAUCAGGCUCCCUAAAACCAAGCCAGCCACACUCAUUGGGAGGGGUACUGGGGCUUGUAAGGAGGCAUUGAAAGUUCCUGACUGUUUGGAUUUAUGCCAUGCUGAAGGGUGAAGCAUUACCAGAUGCCUCUGGGCAGGCCACUGGCACAAACAAACAGAACAUUUACAUGGAUGACUAAAUAGCACGAUAUCCAACCAUAUCAUCGAAGGACCAUUUUCAUCCAAGACAAAGCUGAUCAGACUGGCUGGUGGAUGGUCCACUUUAACAAAGUAAAACUCUGGAGCUACAGAGAAGGUGUUCCCACAUUGACCUGAAUCCAUUGAUGAUGCAUACUUUAACCUACCCUACAGAUGUCAUUUUGAUGCAGUUGCUUGAAAACCUUCAAGAAAAAUUCCUAUUAAAACU
This is a long non-coding RNA of Xenopus laevis (African clawed frog), 627 nucleotides long. RefSeq lists it as uncharacterized. NCBI's taxonomy places the organism in Eukaryota, Metazoa, Chordata, Amphibia, Anura, Pipidae. The transcript is spliced from 3 exons. The record is from RefSeq and is a predicted model, not a curated record.